Molecule: ribosomal RNA, 523 nt
Filed under: uncultured Arthrobacter sp.
Lineage: Bacteria; Bacillati; Actinomycetota; Actinomycetes; Micrococcales; Micrococcaceae
Description: bacterial SSU rRNA
Rfam family: Bacterial small subunit ribosomal RNA
Source: RNAcentral
AGAGUUUGAUCCUGGCUCAGGAUGAACGCUGGCGGCGUGCUUAACACAUGCAAGUCGAACGAUGAAGCCAGCUUGCUGGUGGAUUAGUGGCGAACGGGUGAGUAACACGUGAGUAACCUGCCCUUGACUCUGGGAUAAGCCUGGGAAACCGGGUYUAAUACKGGAUACGACCUUCCCGCGCAUGCGGUGUUGGUGGAAAGCUUUUGUGGUUUUGGAUGGACUCGCGGCCUAUCAGCUUGUUGGUGGGGUAAUGGCCUACCAAGGCGACGACGGGUAGCCGGCCUGAGAGGGUGACCGGCCACACUGGGACUGAGACACGGCCCAGACUCCUACGGGAGGCAGCAGUGGGGAAUAUUGCMCAAUGGGCGCAAGCCUGAUGCAGSGACGCCGCGUGAGGGAUGAAGGCCUUCGGGUUGUAAACCUCUUUCAGUAGGGAAGAAGCUGACCUUUUGGGGUUGGUGACGGUACUUGCAGAAGAAGCGCCGGCUAACUACGUGCCAGCAGCCGCGGUAAUACAAGRRSG